Molecule: ribosomal RNA, 254 nt
Filed under: uncultured bacterium
Lineage: Bacteria
Description: partial 16S ribosomal RNA
Rfam family: Bacterial small subunit ribosomal RNA
Source: RNAcentral
UACGGGGGGAGCAAGCGUUGUUCGGAUUUACUGGGCGUAAAGGGCGCGUAGGCGGCCACGACAAGUCACUUGUGAAAUCUCCGGGCUUAACUCGGAAAGGUCAAGUGAUACUGUCGGGCUAGAGUGCAGAAGGGGCAACUGGAAUUCUCGGUGUAGCGGUGAAAUGCGUAGAUAUCGAGAGGAACACCUGCGGCGAAGGCGGGUUGCUGGGCUGACACUGACGCUGAGGCGCGAAAGCUAGGGGAGCGAACGGG